This 250-nucleotide unclassified non-coding RNA is filed under the name uncultured Pleosporales. RNAcentral's name for it is "sequence contains 5.8S rRNA gene, ITS2, 28S rRNA gene". The record is from RNAcentral. Lineage: Eukaryota; Fungi; Ascomycota; Dothideomycetes; Pleosporales.
AACGCACAUUGCGCCCUUUGGUCUUCCAUGGGGCAUGCCUGUUCGAGCGUCAUUCAAACCUUCAAGCUCCCGCUUGGUGUUGGGCGCUUGUCCCGCCCGCGUGCGUGGACUCGCCUUAAAACUAUCGGCGUCGACGUGUCGGCCUCGAGCGCAGCAGAAGAGUCGCUCCGGGGCCUGGCGCUGCGGCUUGCCGUAAAACGACCACCCAAUUCUUGACCUCGGAUCAGGUAGGGAUACCCGCUGAACUUAA